AACGAACGCUGGCGGCAUGCCUAACACAUGCAAGUCGAACGAUGGUCUUCGGAUCAUAGUGGCGCACGGGUGCGUAACGCGUGGGAAUCUGCCCUUGGGUUCGGAAUAACAGUUGGAAACGACUGCUAAUACCGGAUGAUGUCGAUAAGACCAAAGAUUUAUCGCCCGAGGAUGAGCCCGCGUCGGAUUAGCUAGUUGGUGGGGUAAAGGCCUACCAAGGCGACGAUCCGUAGCUGGUCUGAGAGGAUGAUCAGCCACACUGGGACUGAGACACGGCCCAGACUCCUACGGGAGGCAGCAGUGGGGAAUAUUGGACAAUGGGCGCAAGCCUGAUCCAGCAAUGCCGCGGGAGUGAUGAAGGCCUUAGGGUGGUAAAGCUCUUUUACCCGGGAAGAUAAUGACUGUACCGGGAGAAUAAGCCCCGGCUAACUCCGU
RNAcentral lists this ribosomal RNA (435 nucleotides) under uncultured bacterium. RNAcentral's name for it is "partial 16S ribosomal RNA". It matches the Rfam family "Bacterial small subunit ribosomal RNA", at positions 29 to 506 of the family's 1533-position model. The record is from RNAcentral.